UCUGGUUCAGGAUGAACGCUGACAGAAUGCUUAACACAUGCAAGUCUACUUGAUCCUCGGGUGAAGGUGGCGGACGGGUGAGUAACGCGUAAGAACUUGCCUUACAGACUGGGACAACAUUUGGAAACGAAUGCUAAUACCGGAUAUUAUGAUUGGGUCGCAUGACCUGGUUAUGAAAGCUAUAUGCGCUGUGAGAGAGCUUUGCGUCCCAUUAGUUAGUUGGUGAGGUAACGGCUCACCAAGACGAUGAUGGGUAGCCGGCCUGAGAGGGUGAACGGCCACAAGGGGACUGAGACACGGCCCUUACUCCUACGGGAGGCAGCAGUGGGGAAUAUUGGACAAUGGACCAAAAGUCUGAUCCAGCAAAUUCUGUGUGCACGAUGAAGUUUUUCGGAAUGUAAAGUGCUUUCAGUUGGGAAGAAGUCAGUGACGGUACCAACAGAAGAAGCGACGGCUAAAUACGUGCCAGCCGCUGC
Molecule: ribosomal RNA, 476 nt
Filed under: uncultured bacterium
Lineage: Bacteria
Description: bacterial SSU rRNA
Rfam family: Bacterial small subunit ribosomal RNA
Source: RNAcentral